GUGGUAUGGCUCACUUUGGCAGCACAUAUACCAAACUUGGAAUGAAACAGAGAAUAAUAGCAUGAACCCUGUACAAGGAUGAGAUGCAAAUUCGUGAAGCAUUCCAUAUUAAA
Dipodomys ordii (Ord's kangaroo rat) is the source of this 113-nucleotide small nuclear RNA. NCBI's taxonomy places the organism in Eukaryota, Metazoa, Chordata, Mammalia, Rodentia, Heteromyidae. The record is from Ensembl.